GGUCGGGUAGCUCAGUCGGUAGAGCGACAGUCUAAUAAGCUGUCGGUCGCGGGUUCGAGCCCCGCUCUGACCA
This is a transfer RNA of Thecamonas trahens ATCC 50062, 73 nucleotides long. It matches the Rfam family "tRNA". From Rfam's summary of the family: Transfer RNA (tRNA) molecules are approximately 80 nucleotides in length. Their secondary structure includes four short double-helical elements and three loops (D, anti-codon, and T loops). Lineage: Eukaryota; Apusomonadida; Apusomonadidae. The record is from Rfam.